RNAcentral lists this ribosomal RNA (820 nucleotides) under Vreelandella alkaliphila. RNAcentral's name for it is "bacterial SSU rRNA". It matches the Rfam family "Bacterial small subunit ribosomal RNA", at positions 633 to 1453 of the family's 1533-position model. The record is from RNAcentral. Lineage: Bacteria; Pseudomonadati; Pseudomonadota; Gammaproteobacteria; Oceanospirillales; Halomonadaceae.
CUGUCAAGCUAGAGUGCAGGAGAGGAAGGUAGAAUUCCCGGUGUAGCGGUGAAAUGCGUAGAGAUCGGGAGGAAUACCAGUGGCGAAGGCGGCCUUCUGGACUGACACUGACACUGAGGUGCGAAAGCGUGGGUAGCAAACAGGAUUAGAUACCCUGGUAGUCCACGCCGUAAACGAUGUCGACCAGCCGUUGGGUGCCUAGCGCACUUUGUGGCGAAGUUAACGCGAUAAGUCGACCGCCUGGGGAGUACGGCCGCAAGGUUAAAACUCAAAUGAAUUGACGGGGGCCCGCACAAGCGGUGGAGCAUGUGGUUUAAUUCGAUGCAACGCGAAGAACCUUACCUACUCUUGACAUCCUGCGAACUUGUGAGAGAUCACUUGGUGCCUUCGGGAACGCAGAGACAGGUGCUGCAUGGCUGUCGUCAGCUCGUGUUGUGAAAUGUUGGGUUAAGUCCCGUAACGAGCGCAACCCUUGUCCUUAUUUGCCAGCGGGUAAUGCCGGGAACUCUAAGGAGACUGCCGGUGACAAACCGGAGGAAGGUGGGGACGACGUCAAGUCAUCAUGGCCCUUACGAGUAGGGCUACACACGUGCUACAAUGGCCGGUACAAAGGGUUGCGAGCUCGCGAGAGUCAGCUAAUCCCGAAAAGCCGGUCUCAGUCCGGAUCGGAGUCUGCAACUCGACUCCGUGAAGUCGGAAUCGCUAGUAAUCGUGAAUCAGAAUGUCACGGUGAAUACGUUCCCGGGCCUUGUACACACCGCCCGUCACACCAUGGGAGUGGACUGCACCAGAAGUGGUUAGCUUAACCUUCGGAAAGCGA